AACGAACGCUGGCGGCAUGCCUAACACAUGCAAGUCGAACGAGAACUUCGGGUCUAGUGGCGCACGGGUGCGUAACGCGUGGGAACCUGCCCUUAGGUUUGGAAUAACUCCCCGCAAGGGGUGCUAAUACCGGAUAAUGUCUUAGGCCCAAAGAUUUAUCGCCUUUGGAUGGGCCUGCGUUGGAUUAGCUAGUUGGUAGGGUACAAGCCUACCAAGGCGACGAUCCAUAGCUGGUCUGAGAGGAUGGUCAGCCACACUGGGACUGGGACACGGCCCAGACUCCUACGGGAGGCAGCAGUGGGGAAUAUGGGACGAUGGGCGAAAGCCUGAUCCAGCAGGGCCGCGUGAGUGAUGAAGGCCUGAGGGUUGUAAAGCUCUGUUACCCGGGAUGAUAAUGACAGUACCGUGAGAAUAAGCUCCGGCUAACUCCGUG
This 433-nucleotide ribosomal RNA is filed under the name uncultured bacterium. Its description in RNAcentral is "partial 16S ribosomal RNA". It matches the Rfam family "Bacterial small subunit ribosomal RNA", at positions 29 to 507 of the family's 1533-position model. The record is from RNAcentral.